This 492-nucleotide ribosomal RNA is filed under the name uncultured bacterium. Its description in RNAcentral is "partial 16S ribosomal RNA". It matches the Rfam family "Bacterial small subunit ribosomal RNA", at positions 29 to 507 of the family's 1533-position model. The record is from RNAcentral.
AGCGAACGCUGGCGGUAGGCCUAACACAUGCAAGUCGAACGGCAGCACAGUAAGAGCUUGCUCUUACGGGUGGCGAGUGGCGGACGGGUGAGGAAUACAUCGGAAUCUACUUUUUCGUGGGGGAUAACGUAGGGAAACUUACGCUAAUACCGCAUACGCCCUACGGGUGAAAGCAGGGGAUCUUCGGACCUUGCGCGAUUGAAUGAGCCGAUGUCGGAUUAGCUAGUUGGCGGGGUAAAGGCCAACCAAGGCGACGAUCCGUAGCUGGUCUGAGAGGAUGAUCAGCCACACUGGAACUGAGACACGGUCCAGACUCCUACGGGAGGCAGCAGUGGGGAAUAUUGGACAAUAGGCGCAAGCCUGAUCCAGCCAUACCGCGUGGGUGAAGAAGGCCUUCGGGUUGUAAAGCCCUUUUGUUGGGAAAGAAAAGCAGCAGGUUAAUACCCCGCUGUUCUGACGGUACCCAAAGAAUAAGCACCGGCUAACUUCGUG